This is a long non-coding RNA of Austrofundulus limnaeus, 1051 nucleotides long. RefSeq lists it as uncharacterized. The record is from RefSeq and is a predicted model, not a curated record. Lineage: Eukaryota; Metazoa; Chordata; Actinopteri; Cyprinodontiformes; Rivulidae. The transcript has 3 exons.
GUUGAACACGUUUGGUUAAAAAGCUGGAGAAGAAAGAAACCUGUAUAAACUGUAAAAUAAUAACUAAAAAAAACAUGAUGCGGAUGGACCAAGACAAACAUGUAAGUCCUUUAUCUAAUUAGAUUAAAUAAAAACAGGAUGGGUACACAACACUUGACAAAAACACAUUUGGUGAUUAAAGUCCUGAGAACAGCUUGAUCUUUUGUGGCGAAUCAGAUUUCUACAACCGUUCAGCAGCUGAUCACUGACUGCUGGGCCCUUGUGUCAAAACAAACUCCUGCUCCUGCGUUACAAGAUUUUUUCUGCUCUUCCCUGGCAAAACGAUGAAGAAAGUGUUGCAUAAACACAUUUUAAUGCCCUGGUGGGAGCCAUAACACACCGGUUUUGUGUAAUAGCUUAAAGAAAAAGACCGAAAAUAGAUAAACAACCAGUUAAGACUGAUCUUUUUAUUGCACAUUGUGUUAUUUUGCAAGUUUAACGAAAGAACUACAACUCCUCAUUUUUCAUUAUAAUAUGAUUUAGUGCAAAACUUUGGAGGUGAUGAGCAUUACGUAAAGGAAAAUUAACUCUAUGAGCUAAAAAAUAUCAGCUGAGAUAAAAUGAAAACCAGAACUUUACAUUUUAUUUUAGUUUUCUUUACAAACUUCAUUUUUCACUGGACUCAGUGUUGUAUGGGCAAAACUAUCUGUGGUGAUUGUAACUCUUGGCUGAUUGGUUCCCUCAUCUGAUUAUCCUCACCUGCGUUGAUGAGCUGACAGGCUUUAUAAGGCGUCGGCUCCAGAAGAUCAACGCUGAUGCAUCUAACCUAUUUGGACAAAUCUCACGUUGCCAAGCCGCCUGGAUCCUCAAGCCGCCUCUCUGUAAACUCAUCUGUCCACAGGAACAUCCAGGAAAUCAUCAGGAACCCAAUCAGCCACUCUGCCUGAAGAAACAUACCACUUGGAACCCCUCCUCUGAUCCACGCUCCACACCACCAGGAAAACCUCAAGACGUCCCAAAACUCCUCAGCACUGUAAAUAAACUCGCUUACCUUUUCAUCUUGUCUCCUGGU